RNAcentral lists this long non-coding RNA (350 nucleotides) under Malus domestica (apple). Its description in RNAcentral is "long non-coding RNA (MDOM_LNC001201)". Lineage: Eukaryota; Viridiplantae; Streptophyta; Magnoliopsida; Rosales; Rosaceae. The record is from RNAcentral.
CCAUCUGACCGUAGGGAGCGGGCUGACCGUACGGCGGCGCUGGAGCACUGUAUUGGUUAUACGGAUACCCAGAAGGCUGAGGCGCCGCGUAGUAAGGGUUUUGCGGCGGCGGUGGUGCAGGUACGCCGUAAGGUGCCCCAUAAGCCGUUGGCGGAGCGGGAUAUUCCCGAGAGCCAGCUGGCGGCGGGACACCAUAAGGAGGAGCGUUGUACGGUUCCGGCGCACGAUAGCGCGGCUCCCUGAUCGUAACUUUAACGUCAACUUUCCCCUGGGGCCUACCGGAUGGUCGCUUGAGCUGAAGUGUGCGGCUGGCGGGCUCGUCGAAGCCCACGUCAUCGAUGACAUCCCGG